Molecule: non-coding RNA, 25 nt
Filed under: Rattus norvegicus (Norway rat)
Lineage: Eukaryota; Metazoa; Chordata; Mammalia; Rodentia; Muridae
Source: RNAcentral
GAGCAAUGUCAAAAUGUCCCCCAGA